UCCUCGGUAGCUCAGCCGGUAGAGCGGGUGACUGUUAAUCACUAGGUCAGAGGUUCGAGUCCUCUCCGGGGAGCCA
RNAcentral lists this transfer RNA (76 nucleotides) under Olavius algarvensis Gamma 1 endosymbiont. It matches the Rfam family "tRNA". From Rfam's summary of the family: Transfer RNA (tRNA) molecules are approximately 80 nucleotides in length. RNAcentral also lists the same sequence under 1 other name. The record is from RNAcentral. Lineage: Bacteria; Pseudomonadati; Pseudomonadota; Gammaproteobacteria.